This 1408-nucleotide long non-coding RNA is filed under the name Oryctolagus cuniculus (rabbit). Its description in RNAcentral is "lncRNA (ENSOCUG00000032644.1)". Lineage: Eukaryota; Metazoa; Chordata; Mammalia; Lagomorpha; Leporidae. The record is from RNAcentral.
AUGGAGAGAAAGGGAGGUCUUCCAUUUGCUGGUUCACUACCCAAAUGGCCACAGCAAACCAGCUCUGGGCCAGGCCAAAGACAGGAGCCGGCAGCUCCAUCUGGAUCUCUGAGUGGCAGGCAUCCGAGCCCGUGGGCCAUCUUCUGCUGGGUGGGGUCGGGCGGUGAGUGCUGCCCACGGAGAGUUCGCUCUGAGAGUCGGCUGCUCCCCGGCCCUCCUUCUUCAUGCCUUUACAUCACUGGUGUGCAUGGAGAGGACUGUGAAGUGAAGAUGGCAGUGUGGUCUGCCUACAGAGCAGCCUCCGUCCUGAGGGCUGGCCGAGGUUUGCUGUGGUCUCCUUUGAGCCAGCCUUGGUCCACACCUUCCAUCUCUGCUUUAGGUGGGCUGCUGCCUUUCUUGGCCCAUUAGUUUAUUGCCAAGCAGCUGAUGGACAGGGACCAUGUUCCUCUGCCCGGGCCAUCCGUGCAGGCCUCUGCCACCAGCAACCUCAGUUUUAGUCUCAAAGUUCCCGGGUGCCUCCAAACUCCCGCACACAAGUCAGACUCCCCCUAAACUCACCACCAGUCUCGGAGCACAUACGAACGUCCACCUGGGAAAGCCACCCGGAUGAAAACGUGUCCUCUCCCUCCUCCCUUCCCUAUUCUCUGCUGAAGUCACAGGGAGUACAUGGGGUGAAGGUUGGGGGGAAGCAAGCAGGGCCGAUCCUUUAGCUUCAUAUUAAGCAGUGAGCAAGAAGGCCCACCCCUCUUUAGAGACUGGGGGUGGAGGGGUGGGCCAAUUACUGUUGUCCAGGGCAGCUUGGUGUCCCCAUUCCCACUCACCUUCUUAUUCAUCAUUUGCUGAAUGCUUUUCUUGAAAGCUUGCCAGUUUCAAUGGCCUCUUUAAUUGCUUAGAGGGCUUGUAGUAAAGUUCCCUGCGCGCAAAGUCCACAAGAUUAGGUUUCAGAUUUUUAAAGAUGGGUAAAGUAUAAAAACAGACCUGUGGAAGUAGAAAUGGAAAAGCACUGAGGUGUUUUCCUAAAUGCCGAGGUCUGGUUGUUUGUGACCCCCUCAAAUUUGUAUGUGAAAUUCUUUUGUAAAAAAUUUUUAUUUGCAAGGCAGAGACAGAGAGAGAAAGGCAAAGAGAUAUACCAGAGAAAGAGAAAGAGAGAGAAAGAGAGCGAGAAAGAGAGAUCUUCCAUCUGUUCACUACGCAAAUGCCUGCAACAGCCAGGGAUAGGCAAGGCUGCAGCCAGGAGCCUGGAACUCAAGCUGGGUCUCCCACACAGGUGGCAGGAGCCCAGGCACUUGAACUGUCACCUGCUGCCUCCCAGAGUGUGCAUUAACAGGAAGCUGAGCCAGAAGUAGUGCAGCCAGGGCCCGCAACAGGCACUCCAACCUGGGCUGCCCUUGUCUAAACGCUGAGCCAC